Molecule: long non-coding RNA, 1260 nt
Organism: Panicum virgatum (switchgrass)
Lineage: Eukaryota; Viridiplantae; Streptophyta; Magnoliopsida; Poales; Poaceae
Exons: 3
Source: RefSeq, a predicted model, not a curated record
GCACCACCACCACUCCACCAGUCCACCACCAGGCAGGACGCAGGAGCCGCCCCUUGACGGCGGCGCAUCUCGCCGCGGAUGCCAAAGCGACGCAGCAAGAGUGCGCGACGGCAACAGCAUCGCCUUGGCCCUGGCUUCCUCAUCAAGGUGCAGUCUGCAGCAGCUCGUCUUCCCUAUCGGCAUCUGGCGUCCGGCGGCGCUGCGAGCUGGUGCAGGCUUGCUGCGAGCAGGCGUGCAGCGGUGAGCAUGGAGCUUCUCCGGCCGCUGACCAGGAAGACGGAACGGCACCAACAACGGAGGAACAGCACACAAGCUAAUCCGAGUAGCCAGCCAGAACACUACACAAGUUAAUCUAAGCUCCCUUUCUUUACUUUUUUUUUGAAUUCAGCUUCCUUUCUUUACUAGCACUAGAUAGAUUAGAUAAAUUCAGGAACGAGGAGUUGUUUUUUCAUUCAAUAACAUUUCUUCCUCCUUUUAUCCUCUUCGGAUUUCUCAUGGAGUCAUGGGCAUUCUUCAGCCGCGAGCAUUGGCUGCGAGAUUAGAACAACAGCAAGUAGGAAUUCAGGCAUACACGGUGCAAGGUGUUGCCGGAUCCGGCGCGCGACCUCCGGCCGCUGGUCUCGGGCUUGCUCUGCCGGGUCCUAUUCCUCGGGCUGCAGGCGGGCUCCAUGACUGCCAGAUUGCUCGACAACCUUGUUGCCGGUGCUCCACGUUCUGUCCAUGGACUCGACCGAGGUUGUCUCCUAGGAGGGCGUGCACGGCGGGUGGCCGGAGACGCUGUUGCUCCAGGCUGACUGCUGAGGCUCCCGGAGGAGCUGGCUGGUGUACGAGCCGAAGUAUUGGUUGUCGAAGUCGCGCGACGCCGCGCGCGACCUGCUGCUGCCUCCUGCCAGCGGCCUCCCGGCCGCUUCUUCCUCUCCUCCGAUCCCCUCCCACCGCAGCGUCCUUAGCCCUCACGACAGUCUUGAUGGAACGGCCAAACGGGUACACGCGGGCGGGUACAAAGCCAGAGACCUGACAGGUGGGUUCGGCGUGAAGGGUACCGCGGGCCCGAUAUGGGUGAGAAAGAUUUUCAAUUAUUUUCGAUCUAUAGAUAUAUAUAUAUAAUUAGUAGGGGAGUGACCCUCUUGUUCAAAAAAAAAGCCUUCCUAAAUAAAGAAGGUGCAUGUGCAUGUGGAUUCCUCCCUCUUGUCGUCAUUGCGCAGAAUAAUGUACUUCUGCACCCCUUUAUUCAGUUUAUUUCCAUCCAGAUGUAUACAU